GGCAUUGUCGUUGGCAAAGGCCACAGAAAAGCACAAAAGCUUCCAAGUUAAGAAAGUCUGAAACCCAUCAAACUGUCAUGUGUUAGCCAAUCAGCAGAAGAAGCGUGGAAACAUAUAAUGACUCGCUCCUAUCUAAUCGUGGCGCCAACAUUAAAUACAAAUUUCUCUUUCUGCCCCCACAAUUUUUCUCUAAUUACGAAAAGUCGUCGACCGUGGACUCUGUCCCCUCGUGCCCGGACAGCCGAUGUACGCCUUCCACUUCAAAACUGUGUCUUACGACAUCUUAUCUCUACCUAAAAUUUUCCAUCUUUUCUUUCUUCUUCGUGGACUCGAAGGCGUUUAAUUAAUUGUGGACUCCAAAAAAUUUAAUUUAGGUCGGUGAUUUUAAUCGGUUGAGGCGUCCCCAUGGGAGGGAGAAGGAUCAAUGCCGGUUAUUACAAGUACUCGAUUACCUUACCUGUGCGGCUCCCUUGAGGACCAAACUCCUGGAUGCCCAGCCGUGUCAUGUCGGGUCCCACCUUGUCGGCUUGUCGUUUGGAGGUUGUAGUAAUGGGACCCUUCUUCUUUUAACCAAGGAAAAGACUUGGGUCCCGCUUCUGGACGUGGAAGUUUCCAUCUAAAUACUAUAGUACAGUAUAGUAUUUAGCUUUUGCUUUUUCUUCUCUUUGUUUUUGUAUUUCUCGCGUCGCGUUAUGAGAGAAGUUACUUUGGACUUCUUGGGCUGGUAUACCGUAAUUUUCAUUUUUUAUAAAAUAUCGGGGAUGAAAAUUAAUUCUGGAUAUUAUGUCUUGGGAAAAAGAGAAAGCGGAGGGAAAUUGAAAAUAUCGGAAGGAGAAAAGAGAUAUGGGAAAAUCAGGAGGCAAAACCAUAAAACCAGACAGGUGGGUCCCAAUCCACCCAUCAAAAUCCUUUUCUCUUUCAUUUCUCAAAUACUCACCUUUCCUCCUUUCUCAUUCUUAUUUACUGCUCUUUCCCCGGCGCCCACCAAACUCAACCAUCUCCAUUAUCAACCCUCCUCCUUUUACAUGCAACUUGUUUUCGUCGGUGGUGGUGGUGCUGCUGCUGCGACGACUGCCUCCAUGUCGACGCUGUCCAGGGAGGACAACGCUGCUAUGUCAUCUGAGGAUUCUUCUAGCCCCGAUGAGGCUGAGCUCGAGCUCGGUCUUGGCUUGAGUCUUGGUGGUGGUUUUAAGAACCAGCAAGUAGCAGUCAAGAAUCAAUAUGCUAGAAUUCUAACUGCUAAGGAUUUGCCUUCUGGUGUUUCUGCUUCUUCUUCUUUUUCUUCUACGUCGUCGUCUUCUUCCACGUUGAGCAGAGCCAACGCUACGGCUGGGACCAAGAGGAGUGCUGAUUCUGUCUCCGCCGCCCCUAAUGGUGCGUCCAGUCAAGUUGUUGGUUGGCCGCCAAUAAGAGCCUAUCGAAUGAACAGUAUGGUCAACCAGGCAAAGUCAGUGGCCACUGAAGAAUAUAGUUCAAUAAUUGGGAAAAAUGAAAGCAAGACUGCUGUGCUGGAGAAGACUAACAAUGGAAGUAACAUCAAUAAUUCCAAGGUCAGGACUUCGCUCUUUGUCAAGGUGAAUAUGGAUGGGAUUGCUAUAGGGAGAAAGGUUGAUCUGAAUGCUCAUGGUUGCUAUGAGACCUUAGCCCAAACCUUGGAAGAUAUGUUCCUUCGACCCACCCCAACAGUCAAUUCAAUACGAUCAAGUGCACCACAGCAUAAUCUAAUGGUAGAAGCAACGAGAUGCCCACAAUUGCUGGAUGGUUCAUCUGAGUUUGUGCUCACUUAUGAGGACAAGGAUGGCGAUUGGAUGCUUGUUGGAGAUGUUCCUUGGGGGAUGUUCCUUAGCUCUGUGAAGAGGCUAAGAAUCAUGAGGAGAUCUGAAGCAAAUGGACUUGGUAAACAAACAUGAAAUCAACAUUCUGAUUCACCCCUGAAGCUGCACUUAAUGUACUAAUUAUGUUAGGUUAAUUUCUAAUUUGUAGCUCCAAGUUUGCAAGAAAGGAAUGGAAGACAAAGAAACAAGCCUAUCUAGGCUUUUCUCCUUAAACUUGAGUAAGAUGAAGACGAUCUAUGGCUUGAAGACUGAUAAACAAAGGAGAGAGAAUAAUGAAAGCAUUUUGAAAUAGCAGUGACUGAUUUUCUGCGGCCUUGUGUUGUUUUUUGGGUUGCUGUAUACUCCUAUCAUGAUAUUUGUUCAUUCUUGUUUUAAGUUUGAAAAUGCUCACCACACUUUUUUGAACGAUACGACCACUUCACUUUUUGGUGUAGCAUACACAUGCAUACAUGCACUGUUCAGUGAAUGGUGUUUACAAAUCCUGUAAAUUCCAGAGUGCUCAAUUGCUUUCUACCCUUGUGAAUGCAAAGGAAAUUAUUGUUCUUGAAACGUUUUGCUUUAUUUGCCAGUCGACUUUUAUAAAAAUUUGGUCUUUGC
This 2432-nucleotide unclassified non-coding RNA is filed under the name Hevea brasiliensis (rubber tree). Lineage: Eukaryota; Viridiplantae; Streptophyta; Magnoliopsida; Malpighiales; Euphorbiaceae. The record is from RNAcentral.